RNAcentral lists this ribosomal RNA (374 nucleotides) under uncultured organism. Its description in RNAcentral is "partial 16S ribosomal RNA". It matches the Rfam family "Bacterial small subunit ribosomal RNA", at positions 527 to 896 of the family's 1533-position model. The record is from RNAcentral.
AGAGGGUGCAAGCGUUAAUCGGAAUUACUGGGGCGUAAAGGGCGCGUAGGCGGAUUUGUAAGUCAUGUGUGAAAGUCCUGGGGGCUUAACCUGGGGGACUGCAUAUGAGACUGUGAGUCUAGAGUGAAGCAGAGGGUAGCGGAAUUUCCGGUGUAGCGGUGAAAUGCGUAGAUAUCGGAAGGAACACCAGCGGCGAAGGCGGCUACCUGGGCUUAGACUGACGCUGAGGUGCGAAAGCGGGGGUAGCGAACAGGAUUAGAUACCCUGGUAGUCCACGCUGUAAACGAUGAGAACUAGCUGUUGGUAAUGUAUAGUUAUCGAUAGCGUAGCCAACGCACUAAGUUCUCCGCCUGGGGAGUACGGCCGCAAGGUUA